Molecule: unclassified non-coding RNA, 259 nt
Filed under: Bombus terrestris (buff-tailed bumblebee)
Lineage: Eukaryota; Metazoa; Arthropoda; Insecta; Hymenoptera; Apidae
Description: misc RNA ENSBTSG00005038459.1
Source: RNAcentral
UUGCCAACUCAAUAUUAUCGCGUUACGUUUAGAUCGACCUUUGGAAAGAAUCGGUUUGCAGAAGCAAGUGUUAAUUUGGAAAACAUCAGCGUGACGUUGACACGCUAUAAAACACUUUAUAGUUGAGGAAGCUCGAAAGUCGUGAGUAACGGUGAAUUGCAAGAGCCGGCUGAGUUUAAUUCACGUCACAGUUUUCACGACUUUAAAUAACCUACCUUGCAGCCUGAAACCUCACAACCUACCGUCUGACGUCGUGUAA